Molecule: long non-coding RNA, 299 nt
Filed under: Elaeis guineensis (African oil palm)
Lineage: Eukaryota; Viridiplantae; Streptophyta; Magnoliopsida; Arecales; Arecaceae
Description: long non-coding RNA (EGUI_LNC065263)
Source: RNAcentral
GGAGCCGGACCUCAUCCCCGACUUCGACUGAAGGAAGACUUCAUCCGGACUCCUACGAGAGUCGGACUCCGAGCUCCUCUCAGACGGGUAACUAGCCACCUCUCUCCGCCAGACACUCCAGCUGGACUUCGGCCGACAGGCCUGGACCCCCUGGCGGGCCGUAGUAACGGCCACGACUCUGCUCCACUUUCUGCAAUGGAUUCUGCGUGGCUCCAUCACUCCCUGGCGGGCCGCAGUAACGGCCAUGACUCUGCUCCACUUCCUGCGACGGAUUUCGUGCGGCUCCAUCACUCCCUGGC